GCCAGCAGCUAUAUCACCCUGCAACUCACAACUGGCAGCCCACUGAACCUCAGCAGGUAUGAGCCUGGUCAGUACCUGGAUGGGAGACCUCCUGGGAAAAACUAAGGUUGCUGCUGUAA
This 119-nucleotide ribosomal RNA is filed under the name Lepisosteus oculatus (spotted gar). The record is from RNAcentral. Lineage: Eukaryota; Metazoa; Chordata; Actinopteri; Semionotiformes; Lepisosteidae.